Molecule: ribosomal RNA, 465 nt
Filed under: Vreelandella stevensii
Lineage: Bacteria; Pseudomonadati; Pseudomonadota; Gammaproteobacteria; Oceanospirillales; Halomonadaceae
Description: partial 16S ribosomal RNA
Rfam family: Bacterial small subunit ribosomal RNA
Source: RNAcentral
CCUACGGGAGGCUGCAGUGGGGAAUAUUGGACAAUGGGCGAAAGCCUGAUCCAGCCAUGCCGCGUGUGUGAAGAAGGCCUUCGGGUUGUAAAGCACUUUCAGUGGGGAAGAAAGCCUUGGGGCUAAUACCCUCGAGGAAGGACAUCACCCACAGAAGAAGCACCGGCUAACUCCGUGCCAGCAGCCGCGGUAAUACGGAGGGUGCGAGCGUUAAUCGGAAUUACUGGGCGUAAAGCGCGCGUAGGCGGUCUGAUAAGCCGGUUGUGAAAGCCCCGGGCUCAACCUGGGAACGGCAUCCGGAACUGUCAGGCUAGAGUGCAGGAGAGGAAGGUAGAAUUCCCGGGGUAGCAGUGAAAUGCGUAGAGAUCGGGAGGAAUACCAGUGGCGAAGGCGGCCUUCUGGACUGACACUGACGCUGAGGUGCGAAAGCGUGGGUAGCAAACAGGAUUAGAUACCCCUGUAGUC